GGUCCUUAUCGAAGGUUUUGUAGGUGCUAAUAUAGGGAUUGCAUGUUAUUGAAGGACAAAAAUUGCUCCCUCAAUGUCUUCUUCAUUUUCUCUUAAUCUUAGAUUUUUGGCUUGCCUCUGUGCUUCCUGAUUUUCUUCAGUUAUUGCUACCAGGCAAAAGCCCGACCUGUCAGCUUCAGUGUAAUAAGCUUCACCUUCUUGUCAUUUGGGAUCUCCUUGUACUCGAAGAUAUACUCAAUUUGAUC
This 245-nucleotide long non-coding RNA is filed under the name Elaeis guineensis (African oil palm). RNAcentral describes it as "long non-coding RNA (EGUI_LNC003927)". The record is from RNAcentral. Lineage: Eukaryota; Viridiplantae; Streptophyta; Magnoliopsida; Arecales; Arecaceae.